UCCGGUUUGUCACCGGCAGUCUCGCAUGAGUCCCCAACUAAAUGCUGGCAACAUGCGACAGGGGUUGCGCUUGUUGCGGGACUUAACCCAACAUCUCACGGCACGAGCUGACGACAGCCAUGCAGCAUCUGUGCGCGCUCCCUUGCGGGUCAUCCCCCUUUCGGAGUCUUACCACGCGCAUGUCAAGCCCAGGUAAGGUUCUUCGCGUUGCGUCGAAUUAAACCACACGCUCCGCUGCUUGUGCGGGCCCCCGUCAAUUCCUUUGAGUUUUAGCCUUGCGGCCGUAGUCCCCAGGCGGCGCACUUAUCGCGUUAGCUGCGGCACCGAGGGGGUCGAUACCCCCGACACCUGGUGCGCAUCGUUUACGGCGUGGACUAC
RNAcentral lists this unclassified non-coding RNA (378 nucleotides) under uncultured bacterium. RNAcentral's name for it is "contains 16S-23S intergenic spacer region". The record is from RNAcentral.